RNAcentral lists this transfer RNA (73 nucleotides) under Ruegeria pomeroyi DSS-3. It matches the Rfam family "tRNA". Rfam says of the family: Transfer RNA (tRNA) molecules are approximately 80 nucleotides in length. Their secondary structure includes four short double-helical elements and three loops (D, anti-codon, and T loops). Further hydrogen bonds mediate the characteristic L-shaped molecular structure. tRNAs have two regions of fundamental functional importance: the anti-codon, which is responsible for specific mRNA codon recognition, and the 3' end, to which the tRNAs corresponding amino acid is attached (by aminoacyl-tRNA synthetases). tRNAs cope with the degeneracy of the genetic code in two manners: having more than one tRNA (with a specific anti-codon) for a particular amino acid; and 'wobble' base-pairing, i.e. permitting non-standard base-pairing at the 3rd anti-codon position. Lineage: Bacteria; Pseudomonadati; Pseudomonadota; Alphaproteobacteria; Rhodobacterales; Roseobacteraceae. The record is from Rfam by way of RNAcentral.
UGGAAGGUAGCUCAACUGGUCGGGCAACAGCUUUUGGUGCCGCAGGUUGCAGGUUCGAACCCUGCCCUUGCAG